UAGUAACAUCGGCAACGCUGAUUUGGUUGCAUGCAGCUCAGACGCGUUUUAAACUCGCAAAGGUGAAGUACGCAUGCGCGACGCUCUUGCUCGAUUAGCGGUGAUGUGGAUAUGAAUUAAACGCAAAUAAAUUAAAAAAAAUGAAAAUUAAAUAACUAAAUACGUACAUACAUACAUAUCAGGUCAGCUACUACAUAAAUAAGUGUUCUGAUGGCUCAUCAAAGUCAGGUGCUCAGCUGUAAAUUGUGUGAACGGCUUUCUUAAAU
Molecule: long non-coding RNA, 266 nt
Organism: Rhagoletis zephyria (snowberry fruit fly)
Lineage: Eukaryota; Metazoa; Arthropoda; Insecta; Diptera; Tephritidae
Source: RefSeq, a predicted model, not a curated record